RNAcentral lists this ribosomal RNA (484 nucleotides) under uncultured bacterium. Its description in RNAcentral is "partial 16S ribosomal RNA". It matches the Rfam family "Bacterial small subunit ribosomal RNA", at positions 30 to 507 of the family's 1533-position model. The record is from RNAcentral.
AUUGAACGCUGGCGGCAGGCCUAACACAUGCAAGUCGAGCGGAUGAAGGGAGCUUGCUCCUGGAUUCAGCGGCGGACGGGUGAGUAAUGCCUAGGAAUCUGCCUGGUAGUGGGGGAUAACGUCCGGAAACGGGCGCUAAUACCGCAUCCGUCCUGAGGGAGAAAGUGGGGGAUCUUCGGACCUCACCCUAUCAGAUGAGCCUAGGUCGGAUUAGCUAGUUGGUGGGGUAAAGGCCUACCAAGGCGACGAUCCGUAACUGGUCUGAGAGGAUGAUCAGUCACACUGGAACUGAGACACGGUCCAGACUCCUACGGGAGGCAGCAGUGGGGAAUAUUGGACAAUGGGCGAAAGCCUGAUCCAGCCAUGCCGCGUGUGUGAAGAAGGUCUUCGGAUUGUAAAGCACUUUAAGUUGGGAGGAAGGGCAGUAAGUUAAUACCUUGCUGUUUUGACGUUACCAACAGAAUAAGCACCGGCUAACUUCGUG